This 2294-nucleotide long non-coding RNA is filed under the name Pan troglodytes (chimpanzee). RNAcentral describes it as "lncRNA (ENSPTRG00000053384.1)". Lineage: Eukaryota; Metazoa; Chordata; Mammalia; Primates; Hominidae. The record is from RNAcentral.
UUUUUAUUUUCAAACAAUCCACUUUAAAACUCUGCCGCUUACAAAAUAUUUGGAAGGGCUAGAUGUACAAGCUUCAGACUGAGGCUCCAGGGUUAACCCAGAAUAAUCAACAGAAAAUUUAGUUACUAGGUGACCUCAGGUGGAACUUUGGGAGGCCAUAGCUAUUAGUGUUGACUGCAGGGAUUCCAUCACUUCUAUGAGAUAUAGCUACCUCCAUAAAAUCUAUUUUGUGACAUUCGUGAUGAAUCACGGCCCUACUAUGAACACUGCUAUUAUUGCCAGAAGCAACAGUCGAAACAACAGAAAUGUGGAUUCUGACUUAUUUCUGCAUUCCACAUCAUACAGGAGGGCAUCUGAUUGACACAAGGAUCAGGUCCCCAAGCUAACUUCUGGAGGAAAUCUGAAUGCCUAGGUAUCAGAAUGCUGUUGUAAUUUUAUGAACAAGCAGGUUGCAUGAUGGAAGCCAUAUUUUCGGUGCAUCAUUCUAAAGCAGUAUGAAGCAGGAAAUGGAGGGUAAAGAAAGAAAGGCUAUGGAGGCAAAGAAUAACAAAGCCUGAUGUGGAAAUGGCCAAAAGUUAAAAGAAUAUAAAUUUCACAUUAACUGGUACUAGCAGAAAAGGGUGGAGAUUCUACCCCUUUGGAGUAAGAGUCUUUCUUGUCUUUUCAAUGUUCUAAUGAUAUAUUUGGUGGCAAUAUAUCAUUGGUUUUAAAAAGACUUUUGAGGUGAUGCUAUUAUUUAUUUAUAUUUAAAAAAUUGUCAGCCCAUUCCUCUGGACAGGUAGGUCUAGAAUGGACACCAGAAAUCUGUAUUAUGACCAGAUGAUGUUUUUAUACCAGCCAUGUUUGGAAACUGCCUAAUCAGAUUAAUGUGAAGUGUUCUUCCACCUCUUAAGUCUAAUUUCUGAUAAAAUAUUAUGUCACUUUAACAAAUCAUAAAUGGCAAAAUACAUUUUCAUUUGUUUUAAAAAGUGCAUUCACUAUGUCCUAAAGCAGGGGUCCCCAACCCCCGGGCUGCGAAACAGUAGCAGUCUGUGGCCUGUUAGGAACCGGGCCACACAACGGGACAUGAGCAGUGGGCAAAUGAGCUGAGCUCUGCCUACUGUCAGAUUAGCAGAGCCAUUAGAUUUUCAUAGGAGCGGGAACCCUAUUGUGAACUGAGCAUGCAAGGCAUGUAGGUUGCCCGCUCCUUAUGAGAAUCUAAUGCCUGAUGAUGUGAAGUGGGACAGUUUCAUCCCCAAACCACCCAUCUGCUAACGCUCACCCGCCUCUGCUCCCCAUUCGUGGGAAAAUUUUCUUCCAUGAAACUGGUCCCUGGUGCCAAAAAGGUUGGGAACCCCUGGCCAGAAGGAUAAAUCUUUAAGUGUAAUAAUACCAAGAUGUGGAUCUUCGUAACUUGGCUCAUAGAUAUAUAUCAACAAAUAAUUGUGAUUUUAAUUGCAAUAUCAUAAAAUUUAUUUACAGAUAGUCCUAGGGGUACAUCAGAUAAUCUCUCUGCCAGAGACUAUUUCUACAUAAAAAUUAUAUAACUGAAAGAUUUUCUCACACUGCUUACAUUUAAAUAACAUUUUGAUUUGAGAUUCAGCUUUUACUAAGAAAGCUAAUAUUAUUUAUCUAUUUUUUUGCCUCAAAGUCUUUUCUAUUUCUUGAUUAGACUCACCUAACAUAUUAUGGUCUGCAUGACAGUUUAAUCUUGGCACUGUCUGUAAUUAAGUUAUAAUUAGUUUAAAGAUGAACUUUAGUGAAUCUGUAAAACAUUCUUAUCUGAUCGACCUAUUAAUUUUGUCCUUUCUUAGGUCAAGUUGCCACUAUUUAUGAUUAAUUUUUGUGUAGGCUUAGUCUCACAAACUAAAUGUACUAUUCAUAGGUUUGAAUAAUUUAAUACUCAACAAUGUGAAGAUAGGUUAAACUGCAUAUAAAUUUAUGAAGGACAAGAUUGCUUUUGAAACUAAACCUUGAAAAAUUUGAAACUUGAAAAUAUUGUAAUCUUUAAUGUGAUACGAAUAAACAGCCUUUAUUCACUAAUGACAGUUUUUAGACUCCAAAGAUGCAAGAGCUGAACAGAAACUUCCUGAGGCUAUUUUAUCAUUGUGUUUGGCAACAUUAUGACCAUUGAUAUUCCGAGAGAUAAUGUGUCAUCUGACAGGACACAGAACAGCAAGAACAUUUAGUCUGAUGUUUGUAUCAGCAGGAUGAAUAUAGUAAUAUUUUUAUUGUGACCAUGUCACCUACAAUUUGCAAAUGACUGUAUAAGGAACUUUCCUAUUUACUGCCUCCUGCAAUAAACUAAAAUGAAG